RNAcentral lists this long non-coding RNA (10525 nucleotides) under Vitis vinifera (wine grape). Its description in RNAcentral is "long non-coding RNA (VVIN_LNC002757)". Lineage: Eukaryota; Viridiplantae; Streptophyta; Magnoliopsida; Vitales; Vitaceae. The record is from RNAcentral.
UUUACCAAUUCCAGUAGGUAAUUUAGUUAUUCUAGCAUUUGACAAAUCCAGAACUUUUAUAACCGGCAUGAAAUGGAAGAAUCCACUCGGAAAUGUUUCCAGGCCUCCAUUCCUAACAAUUAAAGUCAAGAGAUUGGGAAAAGAUGGUGGUAUAGUGAGUUCUUCCAAACUACUUGUCGACAGGUAUAGCCGAUGUGCCUCUUUCCACUUUGAAACUUGGUAAACUUCCAUAGUAUCAACUUCUUCUACCAAGAUUAUGUUCUUAUUGCCCCUAUAUUCUGAAGCUAACCAUAAAGCCAUAUCACGAAUGACAUCAUGCAUUUUAACACUAUCAAAUUCACCAUUCUCGAAUAGACAUACUGUCUUUAGAUGCUCAAUGAUGUGGUGCCCUUGGUUUAAUGCUUCAUCUAUGCUAACAUAUUCAUCCAGAAACCCUUCUCCAAUCCAAAGGAAUAUAAGAUCCUGAUAAAAAAAUACAUGGUCCUCCGGGAAUAUAGCAAGAUAUAAAAAACAAGUCUUGAUGGUGUCAUUUGGCAAGUUAUCGUAACUGAAUUUGAGGACCGGAAAUACAUGAUCUCCCAUACCUGAAAACUUUGAUGGAUAAGUCUGCAACAUUAGUAUGGCUCGCUCCCAUUCUUGUGGUGUGCUCUUGCCGACCAUAGCUCUCCCAAUAGUGAUGAGUGCAAGUGGUAAACCUUCGCACUCUUUAGCAGCAGUUUCAGCCAGCUGGGGUAUAUCUGGAUGUGAAUUUAGAGUGGUCUCUCCAACCUUCUCCUUGAACAAAUUGAUGGCCUCCUCUUCUAUCAAACACUCAACCUUAAUGCUUUUUUGAGCUUCCAUAUCGCGACAAACAUCCAGAGAACGGGUUGUUAAUAUUACUUUGGACUUGUUUUGGGAAUUAGGAGAAGGAACCCCCACUUUUUGGAGAUGAAGCCGCUCCCAUACAUCAUCUAGCAGCAUCACAAACCUUUUUGCCUUCAAGACAUUGAAAAUUUCUGCUGCUUUUUCAUCCUCAGUUCUGUUUCUCCAUCUCUUAUCCGGGAUGUCUAACUUGUUGCGAAUGACUUCUUGUACUUUUUCCACACUUGCUGGCCUGGAUACUACAACCCAAAUGGCCACUUCAAAGUCAUUGCAUGUUUUGAAGUACUCAUUAUUGACUUUGGUCACGAGGGUAGUUUUCCCGGCACCCCCCAUACCAUACAAUCCAAUAAUUCCCAGUUGUUCAUCUUGGAUGCAUCUGCAAACCUCUGCAUACAUCCGAUCCAAUCCUACAGUCUUCUCAAUUGGCCGCUCAUCCACCGCAGCUCUAGGCAGCCUAUCAGCCACAUCGCUGAAACACCCUUUGCUCCUCAGUUUAGUGACGGCACCAAGCUUUUUACUUGUUAUCUUCCCCAUCUUGUUGCUUGACCGGCAGUUCUUGGGACAGCAGGUUCCGAGGCAUUUCUGCUGGAUUUCCUGAUCACCUUUCUGCAGUAUCUCCCUGACUUCCUUUUCCAAGACUUGUACUCUGUGGAGCCACCCAUCCACUUCAUGUGUCCGUCUCAUCUCGCGGUCUUCCUCAGCACGAUCCACCUUAUUCUUCACAUCUUCAGCCACGGUCUUCAGAUCCUCCAUGGCGUUUCUCAAAGAUUCAAGGGUUUCUUGCAGAUCAGUGAGAUAAGCAGCACGUUUGGCAGUGCAAUCCCAUAAACGAGAGGCAGCAUCAAGGAUUGGGCUCACAAAAUCCAUGGCUUGUAGGAGAUCACAGAAACAAAACUCAGAAAGAAGAAAGAGGAGAAAUCGGUGAUGAGUUGCUGAUAGAGGUGAGACUAAUGAAUGGUUGAAAUUUGUUCACAAAGCAAAAAAUCUAGUGUGGGGCACUUCAUUUAAGAGUUCAGCCUUAUCGUGGACUCCAGCACCCAUGAAUUUGGACCGUUUUAAGGGGAUUUUGAAAGUGAUUUUAAAAAACAUUUUUUUUAACAAUAUAACCAUUCAAAAAAUCUCCAAAUAAUUCCUACUUUAAUCAUAUGAUAACUCUUUUAUUAGGUGACAUUUUAUAAGACCAGUAAUUUUAUGGAGGAUAUUAGCACAAAGGGACAUCAUUUUUAAUUUAUUUUAGCACAAUGAUAAUCUUUUUUAAGAAGGAUUUUUUCAUAAUAAACAAAAAUAAAAGCUCGCCUAAAAAUGAUACAAAAACAAGUUCAAUAUCAUGUUUCUUAAAAGGGUUAUGCUAGGUUAUCGAAAAGUGCUUUUCCAUACCCACUUUUUUAGGCUAAUAGGGUAGAGACACAUGACAUGUAAAAUUAAAAAGAAAAAAAACAAAACCACUUCUUCAGGUCACCCAACCGGUUGCCAUGGGAAUUAAUCCUAUGCAACACACAUUGUUAGAUCUAUUACAUUAACCAAUUAUAAAUUUGUUUAAUGUAAUUAUUUUGUUUGGAAAAUUUUUUUUACGAAACAAAAAAACUAAAGAAAAAUUUGAAAAAAUAAAUUAUAGUUUAUUUAUUUUUGUACUAUAAAGUGAUUAAACCCCACAUAAAAAUUAAAUUUAAAAUAAACCAAAAAAAAAAAUAAUAAUUUGGUGAUAUAAUCUAUAAAUUAAGGAAAAGUAAAUUUAAUUUAUUUUAACAUCAAAUAAUUUGUUGACAAAAUUUGAUGAAUAUUUGAAGUGUGAAAAGCAAUAUAAUUGGUUUAUGAAGUUAAAAAAAUGGGUAAACUAGAAAUAAAUUUUAUAAAAUAUAUAUUAAAUUAAAAUUAAAUUAGUUGUGUACUAAUUAUUAAUUGAGAAUAUAUGACUAAAUUAUUUCUUAGCUUUUCAAAAAAAUUGGUUGAAAUAUUGAAAAUACGAAAAAAGGUAUAAUUACUAAUAAUAUGGAAAUCCAAACCCCUAAUUGAUUUUUUCGGUAAAUUUUCAUUUUGAAUUUUUCGAUCCAUUUCACACCCUCAAAAUGUACUGAAUUUUUUAGUAUUUUUGGAUUUGAAUUUUUCCGGAAAUCAUUUGACCACCUCCUAAGUGUAAUGAACUUAUUUAAACAAUAUCUAAGUCAUAUGAAGUCUCGAAAAUAUUUUAAAAACUUCAAACAAGUGGAGAAUUGGGAGGGUAUGAAGAAUGUGAGAAUUCCUCACAUUCUUCAUACCCUUAUGAAUUUUUUAAUAUUUUUGGAUUUAGAUUUUUCCGGAUAUCAUUUGACCGUCUCCUAAGUGUAAUAAACCUAUUUAAACUAUAUCCAAGUAAUAUGAAGUCCAAAAAAAUUUUAAAAAAACUUCAAACAAGUGAAAAAUUGGGAGGGUACGAAGAAUGUGAGGAUUCCUCACAUUCUUCGUACCCUUGCUAAUUUUUUUAGUAUUUUUGGAUUUGGAUUUUUCCGGAUACCAUUUGACCACCUCCUAAGUGUAACGAACCUAUUUAAACAACAUCCAAUCCAUAUGAAGUCCCAAAAAAUUUUCAAAAGUGCAAAGAAGUGGAGAAUAGGGAGGGUAUGAAGAAUGUGAGGAUUCCUCACAUACUUCGUACCCUUGUUAAUUUUUUAGUAUUUUUGGAUUUCGAUUUUUCCGGAAAUCAUUUCACCACAUCCUAAGUGUAAUGAACCUAUUUAAACAUUAUCCAAGCCAUAUUAAGUCCCAAAAAAUUUUAAAAACUUCAAACAAGUGGAGAAUUGGGAGGGUAUGAAGAAUGUGAGAAUUCCUCACAUUCUUCGUACCUUUGUGAAUUUUUUAGUAUUUUUGGAUUUGGAUUUUUUCAGAUAUCAUUUGACCACUUCCUAAGUGUAAUGAACCUAUUUAAACAACAUCCAACCCAUAUGAAGUCCUAAAAAAUUUUAAAAACUCCAAAGAAGUGGAGAAUUGGGAGGGUACGAAGAAUGUGAGGAUUCCUCACACUCUUCGUACCCUUGUUAAUUUUUCUGUAUUAUUGAAUUUGGAUUUUUCCGGAAAUCAUUUGACCACCUCCUAAGUGUAAUGAACCUAUUUGAACAACAUUCAACCCAUAUAAAGUCCCAACAAAUUUAAAAAACUUCAAACAAGUGGAGAAUUGGGAGGGUACAAAGAAUGUAAGGAUUCCUCACAUUCUUCGUACCGUUGUGAAUUUUUUAGUAUUUUUGGAUUUGGAUUUUUCCGGAAAUCAUUUGACCACCUCCUAAGUGUAAUGAACCUAUUUAAACUAUAUCCAAGCAGUAUGAAGUCCAAAAAAAAUUUAAAAAGCUUCAAAAAAGUGAAGAAUUGGGAGGGUACGAAGAAUGUGAGGAUUCCUCACAUUCUUUGUAUCCUUGUUAUUUUUUUAGUAUUUUUGGAUUUGGAUUUUUUUGGAUAUCAUUUAACCACCUCCUAAGUAUAACGGACCUAUUUAAACAAUAUCCAAGCCAUAUGAAGUCCCAAAAAAUUUUAAAAAGUGCAAAGAAGUGGAGAAUUGGGAGGGUACAAAGAAUGUGAGGAUUCCUCACAUACUUCGUACCCUUGUGAAUUUUUUAGUAUUUUUGGAUUUGGAUUUUUCCAGAAAUCAUUUCAACACCUCCUAUGUGUAAUGAACCUAUUUAAACAAUAUGCAAACCAUAUGAAGUCUCAAAAAAUUUUAAAAUCUUCAAACAAGUUUAGAAUUGGGAGGGUACGAAGAAUGUGAUGAUUCCUUACAUACUUCGUACCCUAGUGAAUUUUUUAGUAAUUUUGGAUUUAGAUUUUUCCGGAAAUCAUUUGACCACCUCCUAAGUGUAAUGAACCUAUUUAAACUAUAUCCAAGUAAUAUGAAGUCCAAAUUUUUUUUAAAAAACUUUAAACAAGUGGAGAAUUGGGAGGGUACGAAGAAUGUGAGGAUUCCUCACAUUCUUCGUACCCUUGUUAAUUUUUUAGUAUUUUUGGAUUUGGAUUUUUCCGGAAAUCAUUUGACCACCUCCUAACUGUAAUGAACCUAUUUAAAGAACAUCCAAACCAUAUGAAGUCCCAACAAAUUUUAAAAACUUCAAACAAGUGGAGAAUUGGGAGGGUACGAAGAAUGUGAGGAUUCCUCACAUUCUUCGUACCCUUGUUAAUUUUUUAGUAUUUUUGGAUUUGGAUUUUUCCAUAAAUCAUUUCACCACUUCCUCAGUGUAAAGAACCUAUUUAAACAAUAUCCAAGCCAUAUGAAGUUCCAAAAAAUUUUAAAAACUUCAAACAAGUGGAGAAUUGGGAGGGUACGAAGAAUGUGAGGAUUCCUCACAUUCUUCGUACCCUUGUUAAUUUUUUUUGUAUAUUUGAAUUUGGAUUUUUUCGGAAAUCAUUUGACCACCUCCUAAGUGUAAUGAACCUAUUCAAACAACAUCCAAACCAUAUGAAGUCCCAACAAAUUUUAAAAACUUCAAACAAGUGGAGAAUUGGGAGGAUACGAAGAAUGUGAGGAUUCCUCACAUUCUUCGUAUCCCUGUUAAUUUUUUUAGUAUUUUUGGAUUUGGAUUUUUCUGUAAAUCAUUUCACCACUUCCUCAGUGUAAAGAACCUAUUUAAACAAUAUCCAAGUCAUAUGAAGUCCCAAAAAAUUUUAUGGAAAUUUGGGAGGGUACGAAGAUGGAGGGAACAACACUUGUUAAGAAUCNNNNNNNNNNNNNNNNNNNNNNNNNNNNNNNNNNNNNNNNNNNNNNNNNNNNNNNNNNNNNNNNNNNNNNNNNNNNNNNNNNNNNNNNNNNNNNNNNNNNUCGUACCCUCGUUAAUUUUUUAGUAUUUUUGAAUUUGGAUUUUUACGUAAAUCAUUUCACCACCUCCGAAGUGUAAAGAACCUAUUUAAACAAUAUUCAAGCCAUAUGAAGUCCCAAAAAAUUUUAAAAACUUUAAACAAGUGGAGAAUUGGGAGGGUACAAAGAAUGUGAGGAUUCCUCACACUCUUCGUACCCUUGUGAAUUUUUUAGUAUUUUUGGAUUUUGAUUUUUCCGGAAAUCAUUUCACCACAUCCUAAGUGUAAUGAACCUAUUUAAACUAUAUCCAAGUAAUAUGAAGUCCAAAAUUUUUUUAAAAACUUCAAACAAGUGAAGAAUUGGGAGGUUACGAAGAAUGUGAGGAUUCCUCACAUACUUCAUACCCUUGUGAAUUUUUUAUUAUUUUUGGAUUUGGAUUUUUUCGGAAAUCAUUUCACCACCUCCUAAGUGUAAUGAACCUAUUUAAACAAUAUGCAAGCCAUAUGAAGUCCCAAAAAAUUUUAAAAACUUCAAACAAGUGAAGAAUUGGGAGGUUACGAAGAAUGUGAGGAUUCCUCACAUACUUCGUACCCUUGUGAAUUUUUUAUUAUUUUUGGAUUUGGAUUUUUUUCGGAAAUCAUUUCACCACCUCCUAAGUGUAAUGAACCUAUUUAAACAAUAUGCAAGCCAUAUGAAGUCCCAAAAAAUUUUAAAAACUUCAAACAAGUGGAGAAUUGGGAGGGUAUGAAGAAUGUGAGGAAUCGAAUGUGAGGAUUCCUCACAUUCUUCGUACCCUUGUUAAUUUUUUUGUAUUUUUGAAUUUGGAUUUUUCCGGAAAUCAUUUGACCACCUCCUAAGUGUAACGAACCUAUUUAAACAACAUCCAAACCAUAUGAUGUCCCAAAAAAUUUUAAAAACUUCAAACAAGUGAAGAAUUGGAAGGGUACGAAGAAUGUGAGGAUUCCUCACAUACUUCGUACCCUUGUUAAUUUUUUAGUAUUUUUGGAUUUGGAUUUUUACGGAUAUCAUUUUGACCAUAUUCUAAGUGUAAUGAACCUAUUUAAACAACAUCCAAGCCAUAUGAUGUNNNNNNNNNNNNNNNNNNNNNNNNNNNNNNNNNNNNNNNNNNNNNNNNNNNNNNNNNNNNNNNNNNNNNNNNNNNNNNNNNNNNNNNNNNNNNNNNNNNNCCCAAAAAAUUUUAAAAACUCCAAACAAGUGGAGAAUUGGGAGGGUACGAAGAAUGUGAGGAUUCCUCACAUUCUUCGUACCCUUGUUAAUUUUUUUGUAAUUUUGGAUUUGGAUUUUUUUGGAAAUCAUUUGACCACCUCCUAAGUGUAAUGAACCUAUUUAAACAACAUCCAAGCCAUAUGAUGUCCCAAAAAUUUUUAAAAACUCCAAAGAAGUGGAGAAUUGGUAGGGUACGAAGAAUGUGAGGAUUCCUUACAUUCUUUGUACCUUUGUUAAUUUUUUAGUAUGUUUGGAUUUGGAUUUUUCUGGAAAUCAUUUCACCACCUCCUAAGUGUAAUGAACCUAUUUAAACAAUAUACAAGCCAUAUGAAGUCCCAAAAAAUUUUAAAAACUUCAAACAAGUGGAGAAUUGGGAGGGUACGAAGAAUGUGAGGAAUCCUCACAUUCUUCAUACCCUUGUGAAUUUUUUAGUAUUUUUGGAUAUGGAUUUUUUCGAAUAUCAUUUGACCAUCUCCUAAGUGUAAUGAAUCUAUUUAAACAACAUCUAAGCCAUAUGAUGUCCCAAAAAAUUUUAAAAACUUCAAGCAAGUGGAGAAUUGGGAGGCUACGAAGAAUGUGAGGAUUCCUCACAUACUUCGUACCCUUGUUAAUUUUUUAGUAUUUUUGGAUUUCGAUUUUUUUGGAAAUCAUUUGACCACCUUCUAAGUGUAACGAACCUAUUUAAACAACAUCCAAGCCAUAUGAUGUCCCAAAAUUUUUUGAAUUUGUCGAGACAAUCUAUGCAUGAAUCCAACAUUUUACCACCUUACUUCAUUAACUAAUAAGCGGUUGACCGGUAUAGUGCUACCGGUUUGCCUAUAUUCUCAGCCGGUAGCCACUGCCAAUUCUUAUGCUGAAGCACCAAAAUGGGCAGUGUCUACCAGUGGCAAAAAAAAAUUUCAACCGCUUCAUAUGAUGGUCGACCGGUACACAAAUAUCUUUUACAUGUCAUUUAUGUUUUUGAUCCGGUCAUUCAUACACUCAAAUGGUAUUACCCAAUAAUGACAUAGAUUGGCCAAUUGUUGGUAGGGAUUGAAACCGCGAGUUUUGAAUAUAAGAGGAAACAAAAUUAAAGAAAAAAAAAAUACAUUUUUCUUACCACCAAUGCGUUGGCUUUUCAUAUGUCCUAACAUAACCUUAUUCAUCAUUCAUGAGAUGAUAUCACCCCACCUCAUAAUGUAUAAGACACUAUUACUUUCACCCAUGCACAUUACUUAGCCUAGCGGAUAUAGGGCAAUGGGAAAAAAUAAUGACACAUAGGGGUGACGACGAGACCAAAGCACCUUUCAAAUAUAUUAGUGUGACUACAAACAUGUAUGAUGAAGUAUCGAUUGGUCUGAACCAUUGUGUCUCAAGCAAUUUAAUACUCAUCUUGUACGAUCUCAUCUUCUCAUAAGAAUUAGCAACGCUAGAAUAUGCAAUAUGAAUGUUUUCAUUAAAAUAUUUUUGUGUAGAAUAAUUACAAGCAUAUUAGAAUAUUUUUCUAAACUAUUUUAAAAUAAAAAAUAUUAUAAAAAUAAUAAUAAUUAAUAAAUGAAAUAAAAUAAUAAAGUGACAAAUAACAUGUGGAAAAUUAUUUUAUAUAUGAUAUCAAAUUAUAUACAUCAUGAAAAAUAGUAAUAUCAUCAUUUAUGAUAGUAUAUCUCAUACCAUAACAAAUAUAUUCUAUGAAAUUUUAGUCAUAUUUAUUUUCACAAUAUUUUACAUUUUCCUUUUCUAUUUUUUUUUAAAUUUCUUUAAAUAAUCUCACUUUUUUUAGAAAAGAAAAAUAAGAAAUAAAAAACUUUUUCGAAAAGUAAAAAUAAAAAAUAAAACUAGACAACAUUUUCUCAACCAAAUGCAACUUAAAAUUUUCAUAAUAAUUCUAUAAAGUAAGAAGUUUUUUCAUAGUUUAAGUUACUCCGGGUAAAAUAAUUUUGAAAAUAAGCAUGUAUGUGACUAAUAGUUUUGAUUAGGUUUCAUUGAAAGAAGACUUUGACUAUGGGAACAAAUAGAAAAAUUAGUAAAUGGAAAAAGAUUGAGCUAAUAUUAAUGAUGCAUCAAGUGCCUCGUUGGACCAAACGUUCUUCCUUAACCAACUUUACAAACAUGAAUUUUAGGAUAUGAGAAUACAAAAUACGAUGACCACCAGAAAAAAGUAGGUUAUUUUGUUUUUUUUUUCCUGUAAAAAAAAAAAAUAUAAUGUUUUAUUAAUACUUUCUUUUUAACCUAUAAGUCUAGACUAAAUUUAUUAAGAUGAGUAACAUUUGAGGAAGGAAAAAAAAAAUAAAACCAAAGGAAAGGAAAGAAAAGAAAAUAUACCUUACCAAUUCCAAUAUAAAACAAAUUCUUAGCAAAAAAAAAAUAAAAAUAAUAAACAAUGAAAACAUGCUAGACAUUUGAAAAUUUGUCCACAGUACCUGAGAGAGCGUGGGAGAAGCAAGUAAAUGGGUGGGAGAGGGAAGAAGUGCAACUUCUCUCCACCAUUCUGUCAUUUCUUCAUAGACAGGCUCUAUUUGUUGUAGGGAGUGAAAGUGAGUUCAAUGGUUUCAUCCUCCCACCGCAACCCUUGCCACCACUCUGGUGUCCCUUCAAUUGUCUUUAAACUGUUUCUUGCACUGUUUGAAUCCAAUGGCAGCUUCCUUAGGUUUGGGCAUUCCAUCACGCAGAGGGUUUUCAAGGAAGGAAAUGGCAAAGCUUGUCUACUUAUGCUCCUUAGAUUUGGUAGGAGAUAUAAUCUCAAAUCUUCAAGUCUUGAGAAUAUGCCAAGAUUUUCAGGGACCCCACUCGCAUCACCUAUCACUUCUUCCAUGGAUUCACAUCCAUGUACAAUAAGACGUUCAAGACUUGGGAUGUAAAUAAGCCAUGUCAAGUCCAACAACUUUGGAAGUUGAUUAACAUGUACCCCGUGGAGGUUGUAGAAAAUUGAGUUUGGCAUAGAAUUUGCUACAAAUCCCCGUCUACCCCUCUCAUUUUCUAGGUUGACUUUUAUGUCUUGUAGCUCCCCACAUCUAUAUACUGUAAGGCUACGCAGAUGUUUGAUUCUUGGCAAUUGGAGUAUGCUCAUACCUUCCAAGUUCCAAAGUUCUAAAUCUCUCAUAGCAUUCAGUAAUUUUUGGGAGUUUAACAACUUUUGGAAAGACAGAGCACCUAUAAUGGGCAAAGAGACCCAAUUUAUGUGCUCCAACCCUUCUAACUCCUCUAAUAAUGCUUUAUUAUCCUCAUGUAAAUAAAUAGCCUUAUCAUCCUUCCUUGAAUAAUUGGCUUCCUCCUUCUCCUCCUCCGUGGAUGACGAAAUAUAAUUUCUUUUUGACAAGAGAUAUUUAAAUAUUGUGCUAAAAACUCUCAACAUUGAGAGAUGUGAUAUUACUUCCUUAGAAAUUAUUUCAAGACUACCAUCUAAUAUCAGAUAUCUUAGUCUUUUCAAAGUCGCAAGCUCCACAGACAAUUCUCUUAGAUCUGUAUUUGAAAAAUUGAGAUAUUGUAGUGUAACUAAUUUACCAAUUCCAGCAGGUAAUUUAGUUAUUCCAGUAUUUGACAAAUCCAAAACUUUUAUAACCGGCAUGAAAUGGAAGAAUCCACUUGGAAAUGUUUCCAGGUCUUCAUUCCCAACAAUUAAAGUCAAGAGAUUGGGAAAAGAUAGUGGUAUAGUGAGUUCUUCCAAACUAGUUGACAGGUAUAGCCGAUGUGCCUCUUUCCACUUUG